Molecule: ribosomal RNA, 427 nt
Filed under: uncultured bacterium
Lineage: Bacteria
Description: partial 16S ribosomal RNA
Rfam family: Bacterial small subunit ribosomal RNA
Source: RNAcentral
UGGGGAAUUUUGGACAAUGGGCGAAAGCCUGAUCCAGCAAUGCCGCGUGAGUGAAGAAGGCCUUCGGGUUGUAAAGCUCUUUUGUCAGGGAAGAAACGGUGAGGGCUAAUAUCCCUUGCUAAUGACGGUACCUGAAGAAUAAGCACCGGCUAACUACGUGCCAGCAGCCGCGGUAAUACGUAGGGUGCAAGCGUUAAUCGGAAUUACUGGGCGUAAAGCGUGCGCAGGCGGUUUUGUAAGUCUGAUGUGAAAUCCCCGGGCUCAACCUGGGAAUUGCAUUGGAGACUGCAAGGCUAGAAUCUGGCAGAGGGGGGUAGAAUUCCACGUGUAGCAGUGAAAUGCGUAGAUAUGUGGAGGAACGCCGAUGGCGAAGGCAGCCCCCUGGGUCAAGAUUGACGCUCAUGCACGAAAGCGUGGGGAGCAAACA